Molecule: ribosomal RNA, 846 nt
Filed under: Triticum aestivum (bread wheat)
Lineage: Eukaryota; Viridiplantae; Streptophyta; Magnoliopsida; Poales; Poaceae
Description: partial small subunit ribosomal RNA
Source: RNAcentral
AUGGCGUCUCUCCUCCGCACAGCUGCCGCGCUCGCGCCCCCGCCCUCGUCCGCCCGGGAGACGCGGCGGCCGUCGUGCGCCGCCUCCUUCGCCUGCUCCCGGCGCGCGCUGGCGAGCCCGCUGCGCGCGCCGCCUCUACCCGGGCCACGGCGAUUGGGGCCCGAUGAGGCCGCGCAUACGGCCACUCAGUUUCUCUGCCGAUACAUGAGAAGAGAUGGGCAUGAAGGUGAUGGGAGAACUCAAGGACAAGACGAACCUAUUAUGUUUGGGCCAGAUGAUGAUGAUGGUGCAAAGAUUCCUACUCAGGUAGAGACUCUUGUUAGAGGAACUGCAAUAGUUGAUGCUCCAGAAUACAAGCCACUCCCAGAUCUCGAUUAUCUUCAGGAAUUGCUGGCUAUUCAGCAGCAAGGACCCCGGUCAAUAGGUUUCUUUGGUACCCGCAACAUGGGGUAUAUGCAUCAACAACUUAUUGAGAUCUUGAGUUAUGCUAUGGUCAUAACAAAAAAUCAUAUAUUCACAUCUGGUGCUUCUGGGACUAAUGCAGCUGUUAUUAGGGGUGCUUUGAGAGCUGAGAAGCCAGAAUUGCUUACCGUAAUUUUGCCUCAAAGUCUAAAGAAGCAACCUCCUGAAAGCCAAGAGCUAUUAUCUAAAGUACAAAACUUGAUUGAGAAACCUCAGUAUGACCAUCUACCACUAAUUGAGGCUAGCAGGUUAUGCAACAUGGACAUCAUCUCGAAGGUCCAACAGGUGAUAUGCUUUGCGUUUCAUGACAGCAGGCUGCUGAUGGAGACCUGUCAGGAGGCAAAGAACAUGCGGAAGAUCGUGACGCUCUUCUACUUGGAUUAG